Astatotilapia calliptera (eastern happy) is the source of this 2529-nucleotide long non-coding RNA. NCBI's taxonomy places the organism in Eukaryota, Metazoa, Chordata, Actinopteri, Cichliformes, Cichlidae. The record is from Ensembl.
CAGGGAGCAGACGGCUGAUCAGCUAUUAUCUAAAGAUUACCAGUUGGACAUUUAAUCAUCAUUAGCAGGAGUCCUGAACAUCACAGGAGCACGGCUGUCAAUAAAGGCCACCCCUUUUUAUUCAAAUAAACACACAGGUGUAUGAAAAACAGACGAUUCAGUGCCUGAAAUGUCUGAAGAAAAAUCCUCUCCAUCAUCAUCUGCUGUCACUACACAAACAUUAGAAACUGUUUUAUGGAGCUAAAGAGCCCAAAUCUCUUUUCCUGCUGUGGACUGACUCCAGCCUGACUGUGUGAGGAACACCAGGGUAAACGUUGGACUUUAACGUGAACUUUUUAGACUGGGGCGGGUGAUUCUGACCUCAUGACCGCAUGGCGUUGGCCUUCGACUCGCCACAUCACAUCAUCAUUGAAUGACAGCUCAUAACAGCUGAACUGACUAAAUGAGGAAAGUGAACAACCCCCCAUCAGAACAAGGCAGCCACAUGAUCAUCAGUCUGGAGACAAACGGCUGAGUGAAAGCAAACAGCACACAGUGGAUACGAACAUAUUCUGACCAGAGCUGAGACUGAAAAACCUGAAAUCAUCGUCACACGUUUACCCAGAAUCCCUCAGAAACUCACCUGAACGUUUGAUUACCUGGUAAAUUAUUGAAAUAUUAAUGAAAUCAGGCUGAGAUGUUCCACUUUGACCACAUUCAGUGAAUCUGUGCCCCACCUGAGUUCGUACAAUCCUUCCUGGGAUUAAAGCUGAUCACAGAUAAACUGAUUAAAGUUACUCUGAAGCAGAAACAAUAAUAACGAGCUGUUACAGCCGCUAACAUGAGAGGAUCGGAUGAGUUUCUCCUCAUAGUUCAUGCAUGCUGUGCGCAAUUAACAAUAUAUUAUGUCAUGUCACACACAGCUCAUGUGACCAGCAGAGAAAACGAAAGCUGGCUUCACCUGUCGGGGUUUCACCUGCCCCUCAGCACAAAGUCUCCACAGUCUCCUCACAGAGUUCCCUGCAGGGGCAUCAUGGAGGAAGUCCAGAGCAGCUGAACUUCAUCCCUCGGCUUCCCAAACAUGUGCCGGAGCACAGCGCCAUGGCUAGUUGCCGCUCCAUUCUGCCCACACCAGGGUAAAAACCCCCGCUGUCCUCACCCUGGAGCCCCUCGCGGGUCCGGCCCGGUACCGUCGCCCUGUUUCACCGACUAACGCUCACACAGACCAGGUCAUGUUUUCAAACACGCUCGGGCGGGAGAAGUUGACGUGUAGAUAUGCUAACGUUAGCCUAGCCUGCUGCAUGGCUGGGUGUCGUUACCGGAGCGAGCCGUGAAUAAAAACACAAAAACCUGGAACUCCGGGACAGAAGCUCCGGGUACCGCGCCCGGUCCGUCUGGGAUAAGCGUGUUUACGGCGGUUCCCGGUGGCGCCAGGUGACCGUGCGUGCUAGCCUGGCAGCUAUCCGUCUGCAGCUAACCGCCUGUUUCAUUGUUUACUUCACUGAAAUACAUCGAUUUUUCCCGCCGCUCGCCCUCCGGUUACUCGCCUCUGAUGGCCACGGACGCCGGAACUCACCAGGCUGGACAUUCGGAGCCCGCAGACUCCCUUGUUCGCCCCGGAGCCCGAGCCCUCCCCUGGCUGCUAGCAGCGGCUAGCCUCCAGCCCGUGCUGUGACAGCAGGCCACAAGUCAACACAGGCGGCCGCAUCCUUUCUUUCUCCCCGCUAGCUCCACCGCGGCCGCCGCCCGCACGCACCGGCUGCACGCUAGCUCCGUGCCGGGAGCGGCGCACUCGGAUCCGGUCUCAGCUUCAGCUGCGCCCGCCUACAGAAAUUAUCCGCGACAAAAACAUGAAACCUCCGCUUACCUGCACAUGAUCCGCCAUUUUUCUCCAUUUCAUGCACCUCUCACUCCCCCGCUUAUGGGUAACCAAAGUGACAACAGCGCCCCCGCUGGUGGCCGCUGGCAGGACUCCAGCAGCACGAUGCAACACAAUGUAACACAAUGGAACGCAAUUUAAUAUAACACAAUACAAUUUAAUACAAUUAAAUACAACAUAAAACAAUUUAAUACAACACAAUGUCAUUUAACAAUACAAAUAGAUUAAUAAACUAUACAUCUCAUUAAUACAACGCUGUAACGCUAUGUUACAAUACAACACAAUGUAAUGCACUACAACACACUGGAAUCAAAUACAUAGAGACAUGAAUGCAUAAUAACAUGUAACAAAGAGAAGUUAUGCAUACAAUCAGAGUUUGUUUAGUGACAGACAUUUUACAAACUCAUUAGAAAACCUUUUUAAAAUAAAUUUCUGACUUUUUAAAUUAAUUUUACUGUCAUAUUAUUAAUAUUGUUAUUAUUAUUAUUAUUAUUAUUAUUAUUAGUAGUAGUAGUAGUAGUAGUAUUAGUAUUUUAACUGACAUUUUUAAAGGUGCUUAUAGAUAGAUGGCCUAAAUGGACAAAUGUAAUAUAACAUCUUAUCAUAUAGUAAAACAUCAAAAAACAAGAACAGUAUUAUAAUGUAUGAUUUAUUAAAUUGAAUAUUUUAUU